This is a long non-coding RNA of Hemiscyllium ocellatum (epaulette shark), 1823 nucleotides long. RefSeq lists it as uncharacterized. The transcript has 3 exons. The record is from RefSeq and is a predicted model, not a curated record. NCBI's taxonomy places the organism in Eukaryota, Metazoa, Chordata, Chondrichthyes, Orectolobiformes, Hemiscylliidae.
AUCUGGCCUGUCAUUUACUACAGUCGCUGUCCAGGACAGGAACGUCUCAUCUGAGUGCUGUAUGAAGAAACUUUUGGUCAAUUUCUUUGAUGGACAAAGCAGCAUUACAACACUUGGAUUUCCCUGAAUCCACAUUACACAAGAAAAAGUUGACUGUCUCCAUGGUUGUGAAAAAGAAAGACAAGCUUGCCAAGAGGUCAUGAAGAAAGCAGAGAAGAGAGCACCAGUGAAGAGUGGCAAAAGAAGGAGAAAGUCCAGGAAAUAAAGUUACAACAUUAACAUCAGCAAAGAGAUGAAAGAGGUUUGCACCAACACCGGCAUCACCUCCAAAGCCAUGAGUAUCAUGAACUUGUUUAUCAACAGUAUGUCCAAAUGCACCACAGGAUAUGCUUCCCUCCUGGCCAAUUACAGAAAUGCAGACUGAACAUACAUCCACGAAUGAAGUUGUUUAUCAUGUAUGCUAAAUUGUGUGAAUCCAAGGAAAGUAAUGGGACCAAACGGAGUACCAGGCUGUGCAAUCAGAGCAUACGCAGAUCAACUGGCAGAGGUCUUCUCAGACAUUUUCAACCUCUCCCUGCAGCAGGCCACUGUCUCUACUUGUUUCAAGAGGGCCAACAUCAUCCUUGUACCUAAGAAGGCUCAUGCAGCAUGUCUCAAUGACUACCAUCCACUGGCUCUAACUUUGGUGGUCUUGACGUGCUUUGAAAGGUGGUCAUGGUAUUAAUCAACUCCAGCCUCCCCACCAUCUUGACCCACUCCAAUUUGCCUAUCUGACCAACAGAUCCCCGUCAGAUGAAUGUCAUUUGCCCUUCACUCCUCUCAGGAACGUCUUGACACCAAGAACAGCUACAUAAGAAUCCUACUCAUUGACUAUAGUUCAGCCUUCAACACGAUUAUCCCCUCAAGACUAAUGAUUAAACUUAGUAAUCUCAGAUUCAGCUCCACUCUCUGCAACUGGAUCCUCAGUUUCCUGACCCACCAGCGACAAUUAGUGAAGACUGGGGACAAUAUUUCAUCCUCACUAACAUUCAACACUGGAGCCCGCCCCCCCUCCCCCACCCCACCCCCAGGGGUGCGUACUCAGUCUCCUACUGUACUCACUGUAUACCCAUGCCUGCUUCAUCAAGUACCAGACUAAUGCCAUUUACCAAGUUCGCUGAUGACAUCACCAUAAUUGGUUGAAUCUCAGAUGGCGACAAAACAGACUACAGAUGGAAAAAUGGUGUACUGAGAACAACCAAGCUCUCAAUGCUAGCAAAACCAAGGAUCUCAUUAUUGACUUUCAGCGGGAUGUUACUCAUGCCCCCUUAUACAUUAACAACACAGAGGUGGAACGAGCAGACAGUGUCAAGCUCCUGGGAGUGGUCAUCAACAACAAGCUUUUUUGGACUCUUCAUGUGGAUGCACUGGUUACAAAGGCCCAGCAACAUCUCUUCCUCCUCAGGCAACUGAGAAAAUUUGACAUGACGGCAAAUACCCUUGCCACCUUUUACAGGUGUGUCAUUGAGAGCAUUUUUUCUGGAUGUAUCACUAUCUGGUAUGGCAACUAUACUAUUCAAGAUCCGAGAUGGUUACAGAGUGUGGUGAACUCAGCCUGGGCAAUCACAAAGGCCAACCUUCAGAAUCCAUCUAUCAGGUCCACUGUCAAGGAAAGGCUGACAGCAUUCUCAAAGAUCCAUCCCACCCUGGCAAUGUUUUUCUACAGCCUCUACCAUCAAGAAGAAGGUACAGAAGCCUGAACACAUGCACCAGCUGGUUUCAAAACAAUUUCUACCCUACCGUUGUUAGAAUACUGAAUGGACUCAAACUCUUAGCAUUUUCCU